This is a non-coding RNA of Pipistrellus kuhlii (Kuhl's pipistrelle), 601 nucleotides long. The record is from the annotation of a RefSeq genome assembly. NCBI's taxonomy places the organism in Eukaryota, Metazoa, Chordata, Mammalia, Chiroptera, Vespertilionidae.
AUGGCUGAUUGGACCAGCUUCUGGGGUGGAAGUGCAGAAAUGCUUACAGCCAAUAAGGCCCGGCUCAAUGCCACUCCUGUACAAGUUCCUGCUCGGGACCGGCCCCCAGGGCACGGGCCCCCGGUGCUGGCCCGGGUUGUGGUCGGAUCUCCAGUCGCCGUGGUACGUCUUCAGCAGCGGGACACAGCUCAUCGUCCUUGGGGGGCUGCACCAACACCCGCUCCCCCUCCGCGGCUCACACUCCUCCUCUGUGCUGCAGGCCAGCCCCAGUCGGCGCCCUCGGUCACUCUGUUCCCGCCCUCCCCCGAGGAGCUCCGCACGGACAGGGCCACCCUGGUGUGUCUCAUCAGUGGCUUCCGCCCGGGCCGCGUGACGGUGGCCUGGAAGGCGGACGGCACCCCCGUCACCCAGGGCGUGGAGACCACCAAGCCCUCCAAGCAGAGCAACAACAAGUACGCGGCCAGCAGCUUCCUGAGCCUCACGCCCGCCAAGUGGCGAUCUGGCGGCAGCUACAGCUGCCAGGUCACGCACGAGGCGGGCACCGUGGAGAAGGCGGUGGCCCCCGCAGAGUGUUCCUAGGGCCCUGAGCCCCCCACCCUCG